This 66-nucleotide transfer RNA is filed under the name Sabethes cyaneus. RNAcentral's name for it is "tRNA-Ala". It matches the Rfam family "tRNA". From Rfam's summary of the family: Transfer RNA (tRNA) molecules are approximately 80 nucleotides in length. Lineage: Eukaryota; Metazoa; Arthropoda; Insecta; Diptera; Culicidae. The record is from RNAcentral.
AGGAUAAUAGUUAAUUAUAACAUUUAAUUUGCACUUAAAAAAUAUUGAUUUAUUCAAUUUAUCUUA